RNAcentral lists this ribosomal RNA (876 nucleotides) under uncultured crenarchaeote. RNAcentral's name for it is "bacterial SSU rRNA". It matches the Rfam family "Archaeal small subunit ribosomal RNA", at positions 21 to 903 of the family's 1478-position model. Lineage: Archaea; Thermoproteati; Thermoproteota. The record is from RNAcentral.
ACCUGACUGCUAUCGGAUUGAUACUAAGCCAUGCGAGUCAUUGUAGCAAUACAAGGCAUACGGCUCAGUAACGCGUAGUCAACCUAACCUAUGGACGGGAAUAACCUCGGGAAACUGAGAAUAAUGCCCGAUAGAACAUUAUGCCUGGAAUGGUUUAUGUUCCAAAUGAUUUAUCGCCGUAGGAUGGGACUGCGGCCUAUCAGUUUGUUGGUGAGGUAAUGGCCCACCAAGACUAUUACAGGUACGGGCUCUGAGAGGAGUAGCCCGGAGAUGGGUACUGAGACACGGACCCAGGCCCUAUGGGGCGCAGCAGGCGAGAAAACUUUGCAAUGUGCGAAAGCACGACAAGGUUAAUCCGAGUGGUUCCUGCUAAAGGAACCUUUUGUUAGUCCUAGAACCACUAACGAAUAAGGGGUGGGCAAGUUCUGGUGUCAGCCGCCGCGGUAAAACCAGCACCUCAAGUGGUCAGGAUGAUUAUUGGGCCUAAAGCAUCCGUAGCCGGCUCUGUAAGUUUUCGGUUAAAUCUGUACGCUUAACGUACAGGCUGCCGGGAAUACUGCAGAGCUAGGGAGUGGGAGAAGUAGACGGUACUCGGGAGGAAGUGGUAAAAUGCUUUGAUCUAUCGAUGACCACCUGUGGCGAAGGCGGUCUACUAGAACACGUCCGACGGUGAGGGAUGAAAGCUGGGGGAGCAAACCGGAUUAGAUACCCGGGUAGUCCCAGCUGUAAACUAUGCAAACUCAGUGAUGCAUUGGCUUGUGGCCAAUGCAGUGCUGCAGGGAAGCCGUUAAGUUUGCCGCCUGGGAAGUACGUACGCAAGUAUGAAACUUAAAGGAAUUGGCGGGGGAGCACCACAAGGGGUGAAGCCUGCGGUUC